RNAcentral lists this ribosomal RNA (462 nucleotides) under uncultured Diversispora. RNAcentral describes it as "SSU rRNA". It matches the Rfam family "Eukaryotic small subunit ribosomal RNA", at positions 569 to 1035 of the family's 1831-position model. The record is from RNAcentral. Lineage: Eukaryota; Fungi; Glomeromycota; Glomeromycetes; Diversisporales; Diversisporaceae.
AGCAGCCGCGGUAAUUCCAGCUCCAAUAGCGUAUAUUAAAGUUGUUGCAGUUAAAAAGCUCGUAGUUGAACUUCGGGGUCUACCCAUUGGUCAGGCUUAAUUGUCUGCACUGGUGAGAUGGAUCUCUACCUUCUGAGGAACUUUCAUGCCAUUUAUUUGGUGUGAUGGGAAAUCAGGACUGUUACUUUGAAAAAUUAGAGUGUUUAAAGCAGACUAUCGUCUGAAUACAUUAGCAUGGAAUAAUGAAAUAGGACGGACUGAUUCUAUUUCGUUGGUUUCUAGGAUCACCGUAAUGAUUAAUAGGGAUAGUUGGGGGCAUUAGUAUUCAAUUGUCAGAGGUGAAAUUCUUGGAUUUAUUGAAGACUAACUACUGCGAAAGCAUUUGCCAAGGAUGUUUUCAUUAAUCAAGAACGAAAGUUAGGGGAUCGAAGACGAUCAGAUACCGUGUAGUCUUAACCAUAA